Molecule: ribosomal RNA, 355 nt
Filed under: uncultured bacterium
Lineage: Bacteria
Description: bacterial SSU rRNA
Rfam family: Bacterial small subunit ribosomal RNA
Source: RNAcentral
GUAGGUGGCAAGCGUUGUCCGGAAUUAUUGGGCGUAAAGCGCGCGCAGGCGGCCGUGCAAGUCCAUCUUAAAAGCGUGGGGCUUAACCCCAUGGGGGGAUGGAAACUGCAGGGCUGGAGUGUCGGAGGGGAAAGUGGAAUUCCUAGUGUAGCGGUGAAAUGCGUAGAGAUUAGGAAGAACACCGGUGGCGAAGGCGACUUUCUAGACGACAACUGACGCUGAGGCGCGAAAGCGUGGGGAGCAAACAGGAUUAGAUACCCUGGUAGUCCACGCCGUAAACGAUGGAUACUAGGUGUAGGAGGUAUCGACCCCUUCUGUGCCGGAGUUAACGCAAUAAGUAUCCCGCCUGGGAAGU